RNAcentral lists this unclassified non-coding RNA (399 nucleotides) under soil metagenome. Its description in RNAcentral is "partial contains 5.8S ribosomal RNA, internal transcribed spacer 2, and large subunit ribosomal RNA". The stretch from base 1 to 120 matches the Rfam family "5.8S ribosomal RNA", at positions 35 to 154 of the family's 154-position model. The record is from RNAcentral.
GAUGAAGAACGUAGCGAAAUGCGAUACUUGGUGUGAAUUGCAGAAUCCCGUGAACCAUCGAGUCUUUGAACGCAAGUUGCGCCCGAAGCCUCGGCUAAGGGCACGUCUGCCUGGGCGUCACGCAUCGCGUCUCCCCCAAACCGCCAAGGCGGAGGGGAAGGAAGAUGGCUUCCCGUGCCUCACCCGGCGCGGUUGGCCUAAAUUUGGAGCCCGCGGCACUUAGCUCUCGCGGCGAUAGGUGGUGAAUAAGGCCUUGGCCGUGCAAACAACCCGCUGCGAAGCUCUAUGUCACGUGCGCGCGUCGGACCCUUUGAAGUUGCCUUCGGUGACUUAAAACCUUUGCGACCCCAUGUCAGGCGGGGCUACCCGCUGAAUUUAAGCAUAUCAAUAAGCGGAGGA